RNAcentral lists this unclassified non-coding RNA (79 nucleotides) under Pseudomonas helmanticensis. The record is from RNAcentral. Lineage: Bacteria; Pseudomonadati; Pseudomonadota; Gammaproteobacteria; Pseudomonadales; Pseudomonadaceae.
UGUAGGAGCUGCCGCAGGCUGCGAUCUUUUGAGGUUGUUUUUGCAGAUCAAAAGAUCGCAGCCUGCGGCAGCUCCUACA